AUUGAACGCUGGCGGAAUGCUUUACACAUGCAAGUCGAACGGCAGCAUAGGUGCUUGCACCUGAUGGCGAGUGGCGAACGGGUGAGUAAUACAUCGGAACGUGCCCGGUCGUGGGGGAUAACGUAGCGAAAGUUACGCUAAUACCGCAUACGAUCUACGGAUGAAAGCGGGGGACCGUAAGGCCUCGCGCGAUUGGAGCGGCCGAUGUUAGAUUAGGUAGUUGGUGGGGUAAAGGCUCACCAAGCCGACGAUCUAUAGCUGGUCUGAGAGGAUGAUCAGCCACACUGGGACUGAGACACGGCCCAGACUCCUACGGGAGGCAGCAGUGGGGAAUUUUGGACAAUGGGCGCAAGCCUGAUCCAGCCAUUCCGCGUGCAGGACGAAGGCCUUCGGGUUGUAAACUGCUUUUGUACAGAACGAAAAGCUCUGGGUUAAUACCCUGGGGUCAUGACGGUACUGUAAGAAUAAGCACCGGCUAACUACGUAGG
This 488-nucleotide ribosomal RNA is filed under the name uncultured bacterium. Its description in RNAcentral is "bacterial SSU rRNA". It matches the Rfam family "Bacterial small subunit ribosomal RNA", at positions 30 to 509 of the family's 1533-position model. The record is from RNAcentral.